UACGAAGGGGGCUAGCGUUGCUCGGAAUCACUGGGCGUAAAGGGCGCGUAGGCGGCCAAGUAAGUUGGGGGUGAAAGCCCGUGGCUCAACCACGGAAUUGCCUUCGAUACUGCUUGGCUUGAGACCGGAAGAGGUGAGUGGAACUGCGAGUGUAGAGGUGAAAUUCGUAGAUAUUCGCAAGAACACCAGUGGCGAAGGCGGCUCACUGGUCCGGAACUGACGCUGGGGCGCGAAAGCGUGGGGAGCAAACAGG
This 253-nucleotide ribosomal RNA is filed under the name uncultured bacterium. Its description in RNAcentral is "partial 16S ribosomal RNA". It matches the Rfam family "Bacterial small subunit ribosomal RNA", at positions 524 to 776 of the family's 1533-position model. The record is from RNAcentral.